This is a long non-coding RNA of Chinchilla lanigera (long-tailed chinchilla), 1461 nucleotides long. RefSeq lists it as uncharacterized. The record is from RefSeq and is a predicted model, not a curated record. The transcript has 3 exons. NCBI's taxonomy places the organism in Eukaryota, Metazoa, Chordata, Mammalia, Rodentia, Chinchillidae.
CUGAAGAACUGACCAGCUGCUGAGGGAGCAGCCGAGUGGGAGAGGCUUCUGCCCAGGCCUCCUCAGCCUCUGAGGCUGCUUCUUUUCCUCACCCUUGGGGGCUUUGCCUCCUCUGGCCCCCAGCGUUCUCCUGCAGCUUCUCACUGCCUUCCAGAGCAGCCUCCUGGAGAGCCCCACUAAUGCUAGGCCUCCCUUCCACACGUCACAAGUUCUCUGGCCUCUGCCUCAUCCUAGAAGACUAUCCAGCUAAGGUUAACAGAAGAGUUACAAGGAUGAUACAGAGAAUACAUCUGACAUUUGUCACAACUUAGAAGUUAACUCCGGAACCUUAUUACUAUCUAAACUCCAGACUUUUUAUGGAUUUCACUGCUUCUAACCCCCAAGGGCCUCUUUCAAGUUCCUGGGUCCCCUCAAGCAUACCCACUGCAUUUAGUCCUCCUGCCCUUUGCUCUGCAGCAGAUGCUCACUCUUUGCAUGCUGACAGUGACGAAGAAUUGGGUGUUUUGUACAACCCCCCUCAGCGUGUACUUGUCUGACGUUUUUCUCAUGAUUCGAUUGGGACUUGGGGACUUGGUGAAAAGGACGACCAGGUGGACCUCUCACCUCUUCUUAAUCACAUCAUUUCAGGGCUACCUGAGAUCAGUGUGGUCCGGCCCUGGUGAUCACCUGGUCAUUCGGUUAAGGCAGCGUUUUUCCUCUGUGGAGUGCUGAUUUCCCCCUUUCUAGCCUCUGCUCUUCGGAUGCAUGGGACUCGGCCCAGCUCACACUUGUGGAAGUUAAGCUCCACCUUCUGGAGUUUACAGGUGGAAAUGUGAUUUACUUCUGGUCAAUGAUUUGUGGGGAAGUCAACUGGCAAGAAGGUUUCUGAGAGGCUGUGUUGGUGACAGAAGAGAUCAUGUCUUCCAUCUGACACUCAGAACAGCAGCAGCUAUCUUGAGAAACUAAUGCAACAUCCUGAGGAUGGGAGAGAAAUGCAGAUGAAGAACCUAGACUUUGGAAGAAGUCACUGAGCUGAUGAGUCAACUAACCCAGGAGACUCCCUACCUUUGUUAGGUGAAAGAAUACGUCUUUCUUCUUGUCUUGGAAACAUUGACUGCUGUCUUUUAGUUGCAGCCCAAAGCUUCAUAACACAGCUAUUCAUUUUAAAAUGAAUUCUAAGAGAUGGCAGCAAAAGAGAGUCAUAGAUCAAAUGAUCACAUGCACAUGUAAGGGCAAACUAUGGUCCUUAAGAAGAAGGGAAAGUAUGGGACCUCCGUGAGACUAACAGACACAAAUUAACCUGGGAAGGGGAGUUAUCAAGGUAAGACUUAGUCAGCAAUGUGUGGACUGGGACUGGGGUCAGAGAGCAAGUGGAGGGGGAGGGAGGUGCUUUAGGAAUAGGGUGUGGCAUGCACACAGCUCCUGGAGGAAGUAGAAGAACGCUGUGGGCAGGAGGAACGAGGUGGAGGGAGGGAGUGGAGC